RNAcentral lists this ribosomal RNA (465 nucleotides) under Vreelandella stevensii. Its description in RNAcentral is "partial 16S ribosomal RNA". It matches the Rfam family "Bacterial small subunit ribosomal RNA", at positions 338 to 795 of the family's 1533-position model. Lineage: Bacteria; Pseudomonadati; Pseudomonadota; Gammaproteobacteria; Oceanospirillales; Halomonadaceae. The record is from RNAcentral.
CCUACGGGUGGCAGCAGUGGGGAAUAUUGGACAAUGGGGGCAACCCUGAUCCAGCCAUGCCGCGUGUGUGAAGAAGGCCCUCGGGUUGUAAAGCACUUUCAGUGAGGAAGAACGCCUGGUGGUUAAUACCCAUCAGGAAAGAUAUCACUCACAGAAGAAGCACCGGCUAACUCCGUGCCAGCAGCCGCGGUAAUACGGAGGGUGCGAGCGUUAAUCGGAAUUACUGGGCGUAAAGCGCGCGUAGGUGGCUUGAUAAGCCGGUUGUGAAAGCCCCGGGCUCAACCUGGGAACGGCAUCCGGAACUGUCAAGCUAGAGUGCAGGAGAGGAAGGUAGAAUUCCCGGUGUAGCGGUGAAAUGCGUAGAGAUCGGGAGGAAUACCAGUGGCGAAGGCGGCCUUCUGGACUGACACUGACACUGAGGUGCGAAAGCGUGGGUAGCAAACAGGAUUAGAUACCCCUGUAGUC